AACGCACCUUGCGCCCUUUGGUAUUCCGAAGGGCAUGCCUGUUUGAGUGUCAUUAAAUUCUCAACCUUGAACCAGUUUUUGUGACUGGGUCAAGGCUUGGAUGUGAGGGCUUUGCUGGCUUCCUUCAGUGGAUGGUCUGCUCCCUUUAAAUGCAUUAGUGGGAUCCUUUGUGGACGGUCACUUGGUGUGAUAAUUAUCUACGCCGCGUUGACUGUGAAGCAAAACUUAUGGGACCCUGCUUAUAACCGUCCUUCGGGACAAUUUUAUUGACCAUUUGACCUCAAAUCAGGUAGGACUACCCGCUGAACUUAA
Molecule: unclassified non-coding RNA, 312 nt
Filed under: uncultured Mycena
Lineage: Eukaryota; Fungi; Basidiomycota; Agaricomycetes; Agaricales; Tricholomataceae
Description: sequence contains ITS2
Rfam family: 5.8S ribosomal RNA (bases 1-52)
Source: RNAcentral